UACGAAGGGUGCAAGCGUUACUCGGAAUUACUGGGCGUAAAGCGUGCGUAGGCGGUUUGUUAAGUCCGCUGUGAAAGCCCUGGGCUCAACCUGGGAAUUGCAGUGGAUACUGGCAAGCUAGAGUGCGGUAGAGGAUGGUGGAAUUCCCGGUGUAGCGGUGAAAUGCGUAGAGAUCGGGAGGAACACCCGUGGCGAAGGCGGCCAUCUGGACCAGCACUGACGCUGAGGCACAAAAGCGUGGGGAGCAAACAGG
RNAcentral lists this ribosomal RNA (253 nucleotides) under uncultured bacterium. RNAcentral's name for it is "partial 16S ribosomal RNA". It matches the Rfam family "Bacterial small subunit ribosomal RNA", at positions 524 to 776 of the family's 1533-position model. The record is from RNAcentral.